ACGAACCAGCACUUGGGGGAAUGUAGCAUAUGUCUUUAGGCAUAUGUGUAUCGACUAUGUCGAAUAAAGUUCUAGAUAGAAUACUGAUGAUGACAAUUUUCUAUCUAUAUGUCUUGACCAAAUCUCGUGCCAGCAGUCGCGGCAAUACGAGGAAGACUAGUGUUAUUCAUCUUUAAUAGGUUUAAAGGGUACCUAGACUGUACAUCUAGCCCCUAAAGGGUACGGAUGUACUAGAGUUUUAUGUGAGAGGUAUAUAUUAGUACUAUUAGUGUAGAGAUGAAAUUUUUUGAUACUACUAGGAACUGGUGGCGGCGAAAGCAACCCUCUAUGUAUAAAAAAAAAAAUAAACUGACGUUGAGGGACGAAGGCUUGGGUAGCGAAUAGGAUUAGAUACCCUGGUAGUCCAGGCAGACAAUUAUGAGUGCCAUAGACUAAAAGAAAAGAGUCUAUAAAUGAAAGUGUAAGCACUCCACCUCAAGAGUAAUGUGGCAACGCAGGAACUGAAAUCAUUAGACCGUUUCUGAAACCAGUAGUGAAGUAUGUUAUUUAAUUCGAUAACCCUCGAAAAACCUUACCACAAUUUGAAUAUUAUUUGAUUAAUACAAGCGUUGCUUUGAUGAUGUCUAUAACAAGAAACCUGAGUAGGGUAAAAUGGCUUAGACACAUCCAUAGGAACAGCUCCUGUAGUUUUUAAUUAAUACAAGCGUUGCUUUGAUGAUGUCUAUAACAAGAAACCUGAGUAGGGUAAAAUGGCUUAGACACAUCCAUAGGAACAGCUCCUGUAGUUUUUAAUUAAUACAAGCGUUGCACGGCUGUCUUCAGUUAAUGUCGUGAGAUUUUGGUUAGAUCCAUUAAAUUAACGCAAACCCAUACUUUAUUUAUUAUUAAUAAAGUAGUUCACCGCUAUAUUGGAGAUGAUAAUAGGACUAAGACAA
Molecule: ribosomal RNA, 935 nt
Filed under: Cryomyces minteri
Lineage: Eukaryota; Fungi; Ascomycota; Dothideomycetes
Description: mitochondrial SSU rRNA
Rfam family: Bacterial small subunit ribosomal RNA
Source: RNAcentral